UACAGAGGGGGCAAGCGUUAUUCGGAAUUAUUGGGCGUAAAGGGCGCGUAGGCGGCUUUUCAAGUGACGGGUGAAGGCCCUCGGCUUAACCGAGGAACUGCCUGUCAGACUGGAAGGCUUGAGACCGGGAGAGGUGAGUGGAAUUCCCAGUGUAGCGGUGAAAUGCGUAGAUAUUGGGAGGAACACCAGUGGCGAAGGCGGCUCACUGGACCGGAACUGACGCUGAGGCGCGAAAGCGUGGGGAGCAAACAGG
Molecule: ribosomal RNA, 253 nt
Filed under: uncultured bacterium
Lineage: Bacteria
Description: partial 16S ribosomal RNA
Rfam family: Bacterial small subunit ribosomal RNA
Source: RNAcentral